Molecule: ribosomal RNA, 580 nt
Filed under: uncultured bacterium
Lineage: Bacteria
Description: bacterial SSU rRNA
Rfam family: Bacterial small subunit ribosomal RNA
Source: RNAcentral
CCUACGGGAGGCAGCAGUGGGGAAUAUUGCGCAAUGGGCGAAAGCCUGACGCAGCAACGCCGCGUGGGUGAUGAAGGCCUUCGGGUCGUAAAGCCCUGUCAGAGGGGAAGAAACCUCCCUGUUGAAGGGAGCUGACGGUACCCUCGGAGGAAGCACCGGCUAACUCCGUGCCAGCAGCCGCGGUAAUACGGAGGGUGCAAGCGUUGUUCGGAAUCACUGGGCGUAAAGGGCGCGUAGGCGGUCUGGGAAGUCCGAUGUGAAAGCCCGGGGCUCAACUCCGGAAGUGCAUUGGAAACUCCCAGACUUGAGUUCGGGAGAGGAAGGCAGAAUUCCCGGUGUAGGGUUGAAAUCCGUAGAUAUCGGGAGGAAAACCGGUGGCGAAGGCGGCCUUCUGGAACGAAACUGACGCUGAGGCGCGAAAGCGUGGGGAGCAAACAGGAUUAGAGACCCUGGUAGUCCACGCGGUAAACGAUGGAUGCUGGGUGUGGGGUUCAAUUCGGAGCUCCGUGCCGAAGCUAACGCAUUAAGCAUCCCGCCUGGGGAGUACGGUCGCAAGACUAAAACUCAAAGGAAUUGACGG